Non-coding RNA from Xenopus tropicalis (tropical clawed frog), 86 nucleotides. The record is from Rfam. NCBI's taxonomy places the organism in Eukaryota, Metazoa, Chordata, Amphibia, Anura, Pipidae.
GGCUCUGUGGCGCAAUGGAUAGCACAUUGGACUUCUAGAUAAAUAAAGGUAUUCAAAGGUUGUGGGUUCGAGUCCCACCAGAGUCG